RNAcentral lists this ribosomal RNA (465 nucleotides) under Vreelandella stevensii. Its description in RNAcentral is "partial 16S ribosomal RNA". It matches the Rfam family "Bacterial small subunit ribosomal RNA", at positions 338 to 795 of the family's 1533-position model. Lineage: Bacteria; Pseudomonadati; Pseudomonadota; Gammaproteobacteria; Oceanospirillales; Halomonadaceae. The record is from RNAcentral.
CCUACGGGAGGCAGCAGUGGGGAAUAUUGGACAAUGGGGGGAACCCUGAUCCAGCCAUGCCGCGUGUGUGAAGAAGGCCCUCGGGUUGUAAAGCACUUUCAGUGAGGAAGAACGCCUGGUGGUUAAUACCCAUCAGGAAAGACAUCACUCACAGAAGAAGCACCGGCUAACUCCGUGCCAGCAGCCGCGGUAAUACGGAGGGUGCGAGCGUUAAUCGGAAUUACUGGGCGUAAAGCGCGCGUAGGUGGCUUGAUAAGCCGGUUGUGAAAGCCCCGGGCUCAAACUGGGAACGGCAUCCGGAACUGUCAAGCUAGAGUGCAGGAGAGGAAGGUAGAAUUCCCGGUGUAGCGGUGAAAUGCGUAGAGAUCGGGAGGAAUACCAGUGGCGAAGGCGGCCUUCUGGACUGACACUGACACUGAGGUGCGAAAGCGUGGGUAGCAAACAGGAUUAGAUACCCCAGUAGUC